GUUCGAGCGUCAUUUGUACCUUCAAGCUCUGCUUGGUGUUGGGUGUUUGUCCCGCCGUUGCGCGUGGACUCGCCUCAAAGCAAUUGGCAGCCGGCAUAAGCCUGGGAGCGCAGCACAAUUGUUGCUUCCAUUCUUGAAUGUCGAGCGUCCAGCAAGCCUUUUAUUCUUGCGUUUGACCUCGGAUCAGGUAGGGAUACCCGCUGAACUUAAGCAUAUCAAUAACCGGAGGAAAAGAAACCAACAGGGAUUGCCCUAGCAACGGCGAGUGAAGCGGCAUCAGCUCAUAUUUGAAAUCUGGCUCUUUCAGAGUCCGAGUUGUAAUUUGCAGAGGGCGCUUUGGCGUUGGCAGCGGUCCAAGUUCCUUGGAACAGGACGUCGCAGAGGGUGAGAAUCCCGUACGUGGUCGCUGGCCUUCACCGAGUAAAGCCCCUUCGACGAGUCGAGUUGUUUGGGAAUGCAGCUCUAAAUGGGAGGUAAAUUUCUUCUAAAGCUAAAUACUGGCCAGAGACCGAUAGCGCACAAGUAGAGUGAUCGAAAGAUGAAAAGCACUUUGGAAAGAGAGUCAAAUAGCACGUGAUAUUGUUGAAAGGGAAAGCGCUUGCAGCCAGACUUGCCUGUAGUUGCUCAUCCGGGCUUUUGCCCGGUGCACUCUUCUGUAGGCAGGCCAGCAUCAGUUUGGGCGGUUGGAUAAAGGCCUCUGUCAUGUACCUCCUUUCGGGGAGGCCUUAUAGGGGAGGCGACAUGCAACCAGCCUGGACUGAGGUCCGCGCAUCUGCUAGGAUGCUGGCGUAAUGGCUGUAAGCGGCCCGUCUUGAAACACGGACCAAGGAGUCUAACAUCUAUGCGAGUGUUUGGGUGUCAAGCCCGAGCGCGCAAUGAAAGUGAACGGAGGUGGGAUCCCUUAAGGGUGCACCAUCGACCGAUCCUGAUGUCUUCGGAUGGAUUUGAGUAAGAGCAUGGCUGUUGGGACCCGAAAGAUGGUGAACUAUGCUUGAAUAGGGUGAAGCCAGAGGAAACUCUGGUGGAGGCUCGCAGCGGUUCUGACGUGCAAAUCGAUCGUCAAAUUUGGGCAUAGGGGCGAAAGACUAAUCGAACUAUCUAGUAGCUGGUUCCUGCCGAAGUUUCCCUCAGGAUAGCAGUAACGUAUUCAGUUUUAUGAGGUAAAGCGAAUGAUUAGAGGCCUGGGGGUUGAAACAACCUUCACCUAUUCUCAAACUUUAAAUAUGUAAGAAGUCCUUGUUACUUAAUUGAACGUGGACACUUGAAUGUACCGUUACUAGUGGGCCAUUUUUGGUAAGCAGAACUGGCGAUGCGGGAUGAACCGAACGCGGGGUUAAGGUGCCAGAAUAUACGCUCAUCAGACACCACAAAAGGUGUUAGUUCAUCUAGACAGCAGGACGGUGGCCAUGGAAGUCGGAAUCCGCUAAGGAGUGUGUAACAACUCACCUGCCGAAUGAACUAGCCCUGAAAAUGGAUGGCGCUCAAGCGUAUUACCCAUACCCCGCCGCCGGGGCAAGCAUUUAAGCCCCGGCGAGUAGGCAGGCGUGGAGGCUCGUGACGAAGC
RNAcentral lists this ribosomal RNA (1564 nucleotides) under Neopyrenochaeta telephoni. Its description in RNAcentral is "eukaryotic LSU rRNA". The stretch from base 174 to 1564 matches the Rfam family "Eukaryotic large subunit ribosomal RNA", at positions 1 to 1409 of the family's 3401-position model. Lineage: Eukaryota; Fungi; Ascomycota; Dothideomycetes; Pleosporales; Neopyrenochaetaceae. The record is from RNAcentral.